Molecule: unclassified non-coding RNA, 329 nt
Filed under: soil metagenome
Description: partial contains 5.8S ribosomal RNA, internal transcribed spacer 2, and large subunit ribosomal RNA
Rfam family: 5.8S ribosomal RNA (bases 1-120)
Source: RNAcentral
GAUGAAGAACGUAGCGAAAUGCGAUAAGUAAUAUGAAUUGCAGAAUUCAGUGAAUCAUCGAAUCUUUGAACGCACAUUGCGCCCCCUGGUAUUCCGGGGGGCAUGCCUGUCCGAGCGUCAUUACAACCCUCAAGCUCAGCUUGGUGUUGGGCCCCGCCGCCCCGGCGGGCCCUAAAGUCAGUGGCGGUGCCGUCCGGCUCCGAGCGUAGUAAUUCUUCUCGCUCUGGAGGUCCGGUCGUGUGCUCGCCAGCAACCCCCAAUUUUUUUCAGGUUGACCUCGGAUCAGGUAGGGAUACCCUCUGAACUUAAGCAUAUCAAUAAGCGGAGGA